This 255-nucleotide unclassified non-coding RNA is filed under the name Allomyces arbusculus. RNAcentral describes it as "partial internal transcribed spacer region". The stretch from base 1 to 46 matches the Rfam family "Eukaryotic small subunit ribosomal RNA", at positions 1786 to 1831 of the family's 1831-position model. Lineage: Eukaryota; Fungi; Blastocladiomycota; Blastocladiomycetes; Blastocladiales; Blastocladiaceae. The record is from RNAcentral.
AAGUCGUAACAAGGUUUCCGUAGGUGAACCUGCGGAAGGAUCAUUAUUAAUUCUUCUUGAUAAGCGGCUGCGCGCGUUAAACCGCGCAGCUGUUUUUCUUGUGAACUGGGGCUGCUAGUGGUAAAGCUUUACGCUUUCCUCUAGCGGCCUGUCGUUAAUGCUCUUGUGUUAAUUUUUUUGUUUUUGCUUUUUUAAGCUUCACGGCUUAAGAAAAUAAAUACAAGACAACUUUCAGCAAUGGAUCUCUUGGCUCUU